AUUAAAAGUAUUUAUAUAGUAAUUUAUAUUUAUUUAUUCAGUAAUAUAAAUGUAUUAGUACAAUAAAUUUUAUGUAAUUUAAAUCUUUAAGUCAUAUUCUUUUUAUAAACAAUGUGCAGGUGGUUGCACCCCACAACAGGUGGUUGCACCCCAAAAAACCACAUGAAAGUAGGAGAGCCUAGAACUUUUUUCUUGAGAAAAAUAAUAUCUUUUAAGUUAUUACUAUUGAAAGAUAAGCUUAAAUGGGGUUCUUCCUGAUAGGUAUGGUUUAAUAUGUAUCGCUUGUAUUCUUUUGCCUGUUGUUGAAGCUGACUCUUUUUUUCGCCAUGCACUCCAAAAAUUACAUUAACUAAUUUAGUUAUAAUUUCUUAACUGUUAAGAAUUUUAACCUGAUUUUUUGAAGAAGAUUGUUAUAAUAAAUUGUUUUUAGGAUGAUUGCAUCACUGCUAACUUAUAUUUUAUAGAACACUUCAAAUGUACUACAAAAACCACAUCAUAUGCACCCCAAAAACCACGUUGGUUUUUGAUGAUUAUGGAAAAGAUUUGAAAUAAUUUAAUAAAAUGUUUAUAUAGUUUACUCGAAGAUGUAAAUGGGAGGGGACAAGCAGCAUUAAAGGCUGGUAUGUUUUCUCUUAUCAAAGAUAGAGAAACAAUCAACAGGCGAUUAGAUGGAAAAGUGGUUAAUGGACAAGAAAGAAGUUAUUGUACAGAAAAUGAAGAGACAUGUAUUGUUCGUUUUAUAAAAAAUAAAAACAGGUCUUUACAAGCAAUUAAUAAACAGGAAGUUACCAAGUUAAUUCUAAAUGUGGUACGUAUUAGACACCACACUAAUACAAAGAUGAAAGGUGGAAGGAAGUUUCACAAAUUAUCAAUAAAUGCUCGAGCUGCACUGGAAAAAAGAAAGUACGUUGAAACUAAAUAAUUAAACUUACAAUGAUCCUAUGAAAUCUAAAUAGGAUUAAGUCGAUCAUUUUGGCUUUGCUUUAAUGCUAAACAUAGCAGUCUUACCCUAAAGCGACAAGGAAGAGUGUCUAUAAACCGUGCACUGAAUUGUUCAAAGGAAAUGGCAAGUAAUCAUUUAGGUAUCAGUUUGAAAAUUUUUAUAAAUAAGUAUAAUGUAUAGAGAAAACAGAGAAUGUGUCACAAUUCAACGAUUUGUUUCAUUUUCAGGUAUGCAAUAAUAUGUGGUUUAAGAAAAAAUGUAUAAAUAAUAGUACUUGCUUAAAAUGAUUUUCUAUUUUUAUUUUAAGAGGAUAUAUGUAUGUGCUAGGUGAUUUUUAAAUGUACUGGUAUUAAAAGUUGUAUGGUUCCGACAGAAGCAGCAAAUAAAAUUCCACAUUUGUUGGUUACGACAUCAGAAAAUGGAGUAUCAAACCAUGAAUCAUUCUUGGCAGCAUUGAAAGAAUUUGAUGUCUACUUAAAUGAAUAAAAUGUUAAGCGACCCAUCAUUUUAUUGUCAGAUGGACAUAGCUCAAGACUAGACUUUGAUGUUUUAUCUUUUUUUGAGUUGAAAAAAUUUGUCUCUUUGUCACUCCAUCAGACACAACAGGAGUUACUCAACCUCUUGACCAAGUAAAUAAGAACAUUCAUAGCGAGUAUCGUAAAAAGAAAGACUUUAUGUUUUCAGCUAUCUGCUCCUUAAAUAAAGAAGCUUUCAUGUUAGUUCUAGCUAAUAUAUGGGGCAAAUGGGCAACCAAAGAAACUAUUAUAAAAUCUGCUAGAAGACAGUAAACAGUGUGUUAACUGCAGUUGAAUCCAUAAAAAGAAUCAAAGAAAAAAAGUUAAAAGAAAAAGAAGAUGCUCCAAAAAAAAAUAAGAGAGUUAAAAAACUUUUUAUUAAAUGUAUGCUUCAAUGUAAUUGUGGAGACAUAAAAUGUAAAGCUUUCGGCUUGAAGCAGUGUCCAACCUGUCGUAAUGUUAUGAAGUCUGUUUGCAGCAAAGUAAAUUGCAAAGUAAAUGGACAAAAUCCAGAAAUGAUCUUAUUAGCAGGUGCUAGAAAGAAAUGAACCAAUUAUUUUAAUGAGAUAUUUUUAUAAAUUUUGUGCAAAUUUAGUGAAAAAGAUUGAUUCUAGUUAA
Molecule: long non-coding RNA, 2076 nt
Organism: Hydra vulgaris (swiftwater hydra)
Lineage: Eukaryota; Metazoa; Cnidaria; Hydrozoa; Anthoathecata; Hydridae
Source: RefSeq, a predicted model, not a curated record